CUAGACGUGUCUGGGCUUGGUAAGCGAGGAAAUAAAGGCACUGGGGAAUGGAGGUUUCAAAGUGUCACCGUUACUGCAAGUGCUUCGUGACAACAUCCGGUGCAUCACCAAGCCAGGGCACGAGUCUUUCCCGACAUAGACAAGAAAUGUCUGGACGCCAUAAGGAAGCAGAGGUCAAGCGUCACCGUCACUGACAUGACAAUAUCGUGCUUCGUGACGACACCACGUGCAUCACCAUAUAUUUAGCUGUGAGUCAGCUGAUGCGUGCACACGUUCCGGUCCAGCCCUACUUCUGCACCUGUCUUGGAGGGAGGAAGCAGACCACGAGACUGUUGAUAGUCACAAUAAGUUGGGAAGGAGGCAUCUCUCAGCAGCUUCCAGGACCGCAUUGAUGCCAUGAAUUCCUGAUCAACUGCAGCUACAAUGUUCAUGGUGGGACUUAUCCUGGUGAGAGGUUGUCCGACGCCAUCUCCACGGUGACGUCCAGAAAGAUCAGUGCUCGUGUGUACGCCCUGUGAUCUGAGUGAUUUAGCCAGUGGGGCGUUAGGACAUUUUGUAAAGGAGGCUCCUUUUGCCAUCAGGGCUACAGUCCGCUUCUGUGGUGUACAAGCUUGGUGUAUGGCUGGUUUUGCUUCUGUGACUGUGUCGAUGGCCGGGAUUGUAUAGAGUUUCUGUUGAUUCUGUUCAUUAUAAACAGGGUUUUCCCUGGUUCACCAUCUGUUGUCAUUUCUGUUAGAAAUUUAGUCCUUUAGAAAUGCUAGACUUCUUGGUAUCUACGCAGUCACAGAAACUGAAUCAAUACAAACAGAAUGCAAAGUGUGCGAUUUCACAGUUAUCAUGUAUAUCACGAUGUUAGAUACAUGUACAUAUAGUUAAGCUUACUUACGUUAGGUGUUAGGUAUAGUUUUCCCCAUAUUUGAGUGAAGGUCUCGUCUUUUGUUUUUGUUAAGAGGCUUGGAGAUGUAGUGUUGUUUAGGCGCUUUUUGUUAGCAGCCUCUCUUUUUGAGUGCAUUUGUUUGAUGCCAUUCCAGUACAGGAGUGGCUGACGCUGGAUUGUUUUUUGUGCUUAACUUUUUUAUUGUCGCAAAAAAGUGUUAGCAUUCUGUAAAUGUCAACUGUCCGUUUAUUGUGUAGAGGUUGUAGCCCUUUUAAUCAGUUGUUUGGAAAUUUGCCUAGUAACUGAGGCUAAGGCUGGCGCUGACACUAACACAAGACAGACACAUACACACUAACAGACUAACCCCACCAAACACACACUCAUGCAACAUUUUUGACGGACACUAAUCAGCAAAUGCCUUAGCCUUAGACUGAAAAAAAUCUAUGAUUCUUUAAGUACAAAGGCUCCACGCUACCUCUAUACCAUGUACUGACAAUGUAUAUAUUGACUGAUUUUAGCUUUUUUAUCCACUAUGUCCUAGAGUGAGGGUAUUUGUUAACCUAAAUGGGUUAGAUGUUAAGUUCAUUUUUGAUGCUGGACUAUCUUCAUUUAUCAUGCGGUUUAUAUAUUAUGCACUUUGCAUUCCUCUAUUUUGCUAUUAAACAAAUAUGCUGAAGUCGGAUGUGUUGUGCACGUUUUUGUUUUACUCAACUUUGAUAGGAAAAAUACUCAUAAGUGCCUUGCUGUUUCAAAAUUGAUUUACAACUGUUCUGUUCUUACCACAUCACCAAACCACAAAAGGUUAAAUUUUCAGUUUGAUGGCAGAGAAAUAUAAAGGAGGGUUAAAAAUCAGUACACACACUACAUUUACAACAAAGAAAAUCUUUUUUGGAAGGAAAUGGUCG
Long non-coding RNA from Branchiostoma floridae (Florida lancelet), 1782 nucleotides. RefSeq lists it as uncharacterized. The record is from RefSeq and is a predicted model, not a curated record. Lineage: Eukaryota; Metazoa; Chordata; Leptocardii; Amphioxiformes; Branchiostomatidae. The transcript has 4 exons.